Molecule: ribosomal RNA, 497 nt
Filed under: uncultured bacterium
Lineage: Bacteria
Description: partial 16S ribosomal RNA
Rfam family: Bacterial small subunit ribosomal RNA
Source: RNAcentral
GAUGAACGCUGGCGGCGUGCCUAAUACAUGCCAGUCGAGCGAACAGACGAGGAACUUGCUCCUCUGACGUUAGCGGCGGACGGGUGAGUAACACGUGGAUAACCUACCUAUAAGACUGGGAUAACUUCGGGAAACCGGAGCUAAUACCGGAUAAUAUAUUGAACCGCAUGGUUCAAUAGUGAAAGACGGUUUUGCUGUCACUUAUAGAUGGAUCCGCGCCGCAUUAGCUAGUUGGUAAGGUAACGGCUUACCAAGGCGACGAUGCGUAGCCGACCUGAGAGGGUGAUCGGCCACACUGGAACUGAGACACGGUCCAGACUCCUACGGGAGGCAGCAGUAGGGAAUCUUCCGCAAUGGGCGAAAGCCUGACGGAGCAACGCCGCGUGAGUGAUGAAGGUCUUCGGAUCGUAAAACUCUGUUAUUAGGGAAGAACAAAUGUGUAAGUAACUAUGCACGUCUUGACGGUACCUAAUCAGAAAGCCACGGCUAACUACGUG